GGACAGCAACAUUAUUGAAUUCCACUAGUGUGGGUAUGCAACACAGGAACCCGACAUUUGCCCACUUACAAAACAUUCACUUGCGCUAGGACUGAAAGGAUCGCGGGGAAGCAAUUCGAUGCGCGAGCACGGAGCCUGCCUACCCAAACGAUCGUGAUACGACUCAUGCACCACCACGUACAAUGAGCAACAAUUCCAAUCAGCGAACUACAACCCCCAACAAGCAUGUUAUGCCCGUCAAGCAUUGCCGAAACACCGAAUGAAACAGCUGCCCCCACCGC
This 281-nucleotide long non-coding RNA is filed under the name Ricinus communis (castor bean). RNAcentral's name for it is "long non-coding RNA (RCOM_LNC003714)". The record is from RNAcentral. Lineage: Eukaryota; Viridiplantae; Streptophyta; Magnoliopsida; Malpighiales; Euphorbiaceae.